Molecule: ribosomal RNA, 484 nt
Filed under: uncultured bacterium
Lineage: Bacteria
Description: partial 16S ribosomal RNA
Rfam family: Bacterial small subunit ribosomal RNA
Source: RNAcentral
AUUGAACGCUGGCGGCAGGCCUAACACAUGCAAGUCGAGCGGAUGAAGGGAGCUUGCUCCUGGAUUCAGCGGCGGACGGGUGAGUAAUGCCUAGGAAUCUGCCUGGUAGUGGGGGAUAACGUCCGGAAACGGGCGCUAAUACCGCAUCCGUCCUGAGGGAGAAAGUGGGGGAUCUUCGGACCUCACGCUAUCAUAUUAGCCUAGGUCGGAUUAGCUAGUUGGUGGGGUAAAGGCCUAACAAGGCGACGAUCCGUAACUGGUCUGAGAGGAUGAUCAGACACACGGGAAGUGAGACACGGUCCAGACUCCUACGGGAGGCAGCAGUGGGGAAUAUUAGACGAUGGGCGAAAGCCUGAUCCAGCCAUGCCGCGUGUGUGAAGAAGGUCUUCGGAUUGUAAAGCACUUUAAGUUGGGGGGAAGGGCAGUAAGUUAAUACCUUGCGGUUUUGACGGUACCAACAGAAUAAGCACCGGCUAACUUCGUG